AUUGAACGCUGGCGGAAUGCUUUACACAUGCAAGUCGAACGGCAGCACGGACUUCGGUCUGGUGGCGAGUGGCGAACGGGUGAGUAAUACAUCGGAACGUGCCCAGUCGUGGGGGAUAACGUAGCGAAAGCUACGCUAAUACCGCAUACGAUCUAAGGAUGAAAGCGGGGGAUCGCAAGACCUCGCGCGAUGGGAGCGGCCGGUGGCAGAUUAGGUAGUUGGUGGGGUAAAGGCUCACCAAGCCGACGAUCUGUAGCUGGUCUGAGAGGACGACCAGCCACACUGGGACUGAGACACGGCCCAGACUCCUACGGGAGGCAGCAGUGGGGAAUUUUGGACAAUGGGCGCAAGCCUGAUCCAGCCAUUCCGCGUGCAGGAUGAAGGCCCUCGGGUUGUAAACUGCUUUUGUACGGAACGAAAAGGCCCUGGUUAAUACCUGGGGCUCAUGACGGUACCGUAAGAAUAAGCACCGGCUAACUUCGUGCCAGCCGCCGCAGUAA
RNAcentral lists this ribosomal RNA (500 nucleotides) under uncultured bacterium. Its description in RNAcentral is "partial 16S ribosomal RNA". It matches the Rfam family "Bacterial small subunit ribosomal RNA", at positions 30 to 523 of the family's 1533-position model. The record is from RNAcentral.